CAGUCGAACGAGGAUUUAACGGAAUGCGAUUCGUCAAAUGAAAUUAAAUCCGAGUGGCGGACGGGUGAGUAACGCGUGGAUAACCUGCCUCACACAGGGGGACAACAGCCGGAAACGGCUGCUAAUACCGCAUAACACAAGUAAUUCGCAUGAAUAACUUGCCAAAGAUUUUAUCGGUGUGAGAUGGAUCCGCGUCUGAUUAGCCAGUUGGCGGGGUAACGGCCCACCAAAGCGACGAUCAGUAGCCGACCUGAGAGGGUGACCGGCCACAUUGGGACUGAGACACGGCCCAAACUCCUACGGGAGGCAGCAGUGGGGAAUAUUGCACAAUGGGCGAAAGCCUGAUGCAGCGACGCCGCGUGAAGGAUGAAGUAUUUCGGUAUGUAAACUUCUAUCAGCAGGGAAGAAAAUGACGGUACCUGACUAAGAAGCCCCGGCUAACUACGUGCCAGCAGCCGCGGUAAUACGUAGGGGGCAAGCGUUAUCCGGAUUUACUGGGUGUAAAGGGAGCGUAGAUGGCAUGGCAAGUCUGAAGUGAAAGCCCGGGGCUUAACCCCGGGACUGCUUUGGAAACUGUUAAGCUAGAGUGCAGGAGAGGUAAGCGGAAUUCCUAGUGUAGCGGUGAAAUGCGUAGAUAUUAGGAGGAACACCGGUGGCGAAGGCGGCUUACUGGACUGUAACUGACAUUGAGGCUCGAAAGCGUGGGGAGCAAACAGGAUUAGAUACCCUGGUAGUCCACGCCGUANACGAUGAAUACUAGGUGUUGGGGANCAUAAGCUCUUCGGUGCCGG
Molecule: ribosomal RNA, 791 nt
Filed under: uncultured bacterium
Lineage: Bacteria
Description: bacterial SSU rRNA
Rfam family: Bacterial small subunit ribosomal RNA
Source: RNAcentral